GAUGAACGCUGGCGGCGUGCUUAACACAUGCAAGUCGAACGGAAAGGCCCAAGCUUGCUUGGGUCCUCGAGUGGCGAACGGGUGAGUAACACGUGGGUGAUCUGCCCUGCACUUCGGGAUAAGCCUGGGAAACUGGGUCUAAUACCGGAUAGGACGAUGGUUUGGAUGCCAUUGUGGAAAGUUUUUUCGGUGUGGGAUGAGCUCGCGGCCUAUCAGCUUGUUGGUGGGGUAAUGGCCUACCAAGGCGUCGACGGGUAGCCGGCCUGAGAGGGUGUACGGCCACAUUGGGACUGAGAUACGGCCCAGACUCCUACGGGAGGCAGCAAUGGGGAAUAUUGCACAAUGGGCGCAAGCCUGAUGCAGCGACGCCGCGUGGGGGAUGACGGCCUUCGGGUUGUAAACUCCUUUCGCUAGGGACGAAGCGUUUUUGUGACGGUACCUGGAGAAGAAGCACCGGCUAACUACGUG
Molecule: ribosomal RNA, 468 nt
Filed under: uncultured bacterium
Lineage: Bacteria
Description: partial 16S ribosomal RNA
Rfam family: Bacterial small subunit ribosomal RNA
Source: RNAcentral